RNAcentral lists this ribosomal RNA (1050 nucleotides) under Triticum aestivum (bread wheat). Its description in RNAcentral is "partial small subunit ribosomal RNA". Lineage: Eukaryota; Viridiplantae; Streptophyta; Magnoliopsida; Poales; Poaceae. The record is from RNAcentral.
AUGGACAAGGUCAGGCACGCAACCCCUACUGCCAAAUUGCAAAAAUCCAAGAGGUGGAUUCACUUUGCCGCUUCAUCGAAAACAAAGAUCAUAGCUUUUGGUCUGAAGAAAACUUAUUCGCCAUCCGAAGAAGUUCAUCACUUUCCUCUUGAGGCCUUGGGUGUUCAAGGCAGCUCUUCUGUGCAGUCCUUGUCUCUCGCUGCUGUUUCUAUAAAGCCACACCCGAUAUCUGAAGACUUUCCAGGCUUGCUAGCAAACUGUUCGGCACUUGAGGACAUAGAGAUCACAGAGAAAGACCUGUGCUUGGACUACUUGCUCCGAUUGAUCGCAAACUUUGAAAUGUCAAGCUGGGGUGCUGUAUCUUACAGCCAAGGGUUGCGGCCAGUAUGUUUCCCAUCCAGGAUCAUGGCGUCGGGUGUGCUGCCCGGGAGGUCAGCAGAUGGGCACAGCUACCUCGGAGCGCUUCCAUAUAAGGUGAUCAGAGUCUCAGGUGCCCCUUCACAUUUGGGGUCGAUUGGGGUCAAUCGAGUGCCGAUGGAGGCAUCAUGUAAUACUGAUGAUGGCGGGUCCCGUAAGCCAGUUCGCUGGGUUCUUGAGAGCCUGUCGUGCAAAGAGAUAAUGAUGUCAAUAUUAUUUGUAGAUGGUUUUGAAGGUGACUACGUUGACAACCACCGGGCCACCCUGCACAGGUCUAAGCCAGGCAGGAACGAUCCUCUACAGCCGUCGGAUCCAUCCAUCAGAUGGAUCUGGCCGUUAAUCACGCUCGGGCCCAGUGCGCAGCGCCUCCCCCUGGCGAGGGAUGAGAAGGGCUCGUGUGGGCCUCGGCCCGUAAAGUUGGGCUGGAGAAUAAACGGAAUCCAGCCCAUCUGUCUCUCCCAUUGCUUUCCUUUUUCGACUUCACUAACUGCUCCACGGAGCUCCGCCGAUCUUACAGCAGCAAUGGCCGGAGCAGGAGAAGAUGACGGCGAAGUAGCUCUCCUCCUCCUCCCGCUCCCUCCUCUAGGUCAGCAAGCAAGCAGAUCGAUCGACUGCGAGAUCCUUCCCCCUUAA